GACGAACGCUGGCGGCGUGCUUAACACAUGCAAGUCGAACGGAAAGGCCCUGCUUUUGUGGGGUGCUCGAGUGGCGAACGGGUGAGUAACACGUGAGUAACCUGCCCUUGACUUUGGGAUAACUUCAGGAAACUGGGGCUAAUACCGGAUAGGAGCUCCUGCUGCAUGGUGGGGGUUGGAAAGUUUCGGCGGUUGGGGAUGGACUCGCGGCUUAUCAGCUUGUUGGUGGGGUAGUGGCUUACCAAGGCUUUGACGGGUAGGCGGCCUGGGAGGGUGACCGGCCACAAUGGGACUGAGGUAGGGCCCAGACGCCUACGGGAGGCAGUAGUGGGGAAUAUUGCACAGUGGGAGGAAGCGUGAUGCAGCAACGCCGCGUGCGGGAUGACGGCCUUUGGGGUAUAAACCGCUUUCGCCUGUGACGAAGCGGGAGUGACGGUAAUGGGUAAAGAAGCACCGGCUAACUACGUG
This 468-nucleotide ribosomal RNA is filed under the name uncultured bacterium. RNAcentral describes it as "partial 16S ribosomal RNA". It matches the Rfam family "Bacterial small subunit ribosomal RNA", at positions 28 to 507 of the family's 1533-position model. The record is from RNAcentral.